AGUGGCGAACGGGUGAGUAAAGUAUCGGAACGUGCCCAGUCGUGGGGGAUAACGUAGCGAAAGUUACGCUAAUACCGCAUACGAUCUAUGGAUGAAAGCGGGGGAUCGCAAGACCUCGCGCGAUUGGAGCGGCCGAUAUCAAAUUAGGUAGUUGGUGGGGUAAAGGCUCACCAAGCCGACGAUCUGUAGCUGGUCUGAGAGGACGACCAGCCACACUGGGACUGAGACACGGCCCACACUCCUACGGGAGGCAGCAGUGGGGAAUUUUGGACAAUGGGCGCAAGCCUGAUCCAGCCAUGCCGCGUGCAGGAUGAAGGCCUUCGGGUUGUAAACUGCUUUUGUACGGAACGAAAAGGUUUGGCCUAAUAAGCUGAGCUCAUGACGGUACCGUAAGAAUAAGCACCGGCUAACUACGUGCCAGCAGCCGCGGUAAUACGUAGGGUGCGAGCGUUAAUCGGAAUUACUGGGCGUAAAGCGUGCGCAGGCGGUUAUGUAAGACAGAUGUGAACUCCCCGGGCUCAACCUGGGAACUGCAUUAGUGACUGCAUAGCUGGAGUACGGCAGAGGGGGGAUGGAAUUCCGCGUGUAGCAGUGAAAUGCGUAGAUAUGCGGAGGAACACCGGAUGGCGAAGGCUAUCCCCUGGGUCUGUACUGACGCUCAUGCACGAAAGCGUGGG
RNAcentral lists this ribosomal RNA (677 nucleotides) under uncultured Curvibacter sp. Its description in RNAcentral is "bacterial SSU rRNA". It matches the Rfam family "Bacterial small subunit ribosomal RNA", at positions 94 to 765 of the family's 1533-position model. The record is from RNAcentral. Lineage: Bacteria; Pseudomonadati; Pseudomonadota; Betaproteobacteria; Burkholderiales; Comamonadaceae.